Molecule: ribosomal RNA, 468 nt
Filed under: uncultured bacterium
Lineage: Bacteria
Description: bacterial SSU rRNA
Rfam family: Bacterial small subunit ribosomal RNA
Source: RNAcentral
ACUCCUACGGGAGGCAGCAGUGAGGAAUUUUGCGCAAUGGCCGCAAGGCUGACGCAGCAACGCCGCGUGGGUGAUGAAGGCCUUCGGGUCGUAAAGCCCUGUCAGGUGGGAAGAAAGGCCUUAAGGAGAAAGACUUGAGGUUUGACGGUACCACCAGAGGAAGCACCGGCUAACUCCGUGCCAGCAGCCGCGGUAAUACGGAGGGUGCGAGCGUUAUUCGGAAUUACUGGGCGUAAAGCGCGUGUAGGCGGGGGGACAAGUCUGAUGUGAAAGCCCUGGGCUUAACCUGGGAAGCGCAUUGGAAACUGUUUUUCUUGAGUACUGGAGAGGAAGGGGGAAUUCCCGGUGUAGAGGUGAAAUUCGUAGAGAUCGGGAGGAAUACCAGUGGCGUAGGCGCCCUUCUGGACGGUAACUGACGCUGAGACGCGAAAGCGUGGGGAGCAAACAGGAUUAGAUACCCUGGUAGUC